UUACGGCGAGUGAAGAGGGAAGAGCCCAAGAUUGAAAGCUGGCGUCUUUGGCGUCCGCAUUGUAAUCUCAAGAAGUGUUUUCCGCUUCGGACCAUGCCUAAGUCCCUUGGAAAAGGGCAUCAUAGAGGGUGAUAAUCCCGUACAUGGCAUGGAGCGCCCGAAGCUUUGUGAUACGCUUUCUAAGAGUCGAGUUGUUUGGGAAUGCAGCUCAAAAUGGGUGGUAAAUGCCAUCUAAGGCUAAAUAUUGGGGAGAGACCGAUAGCGAACAAGUACAGUGAUGGAAAGAUGAAAAGAACUUUGAAAAGAGAGUUAAACAGUACGUGAAAUUGCCAAAAGGGAAGGGUAGGAGGUCAGAGAUGCGGCCUGGGAAGCUUUUCCCAGAUUGCAGGCCAACGUCGGUUUUGGGCACUGGAGAAUGGUGGGAGGAACGUGGCACCCCUCGGGGUGUGUUAUAGCCUCCUACUGGAUACAGCGACCGAGACCGAGGACAGCAGCGUACUCGCAAGAGCGGGCCUUCGGGCACCUUUACGCUUAGGGCGUUGGCAUCACGGCCU
Molecule: ribosomal RNA, 554 nt
Filed under: Melanopsichium pennsylvanicum
Lineage: Eukaryota; Fungi; Basidiomycota; Ustilaginomycetes; Ustilaginales
Description: LSU rRNA
Rfam family: Eukaryotic large subunit ribosomal RNA
Source: RNAcentral